AUAUACAAGUUCUAAACAGGUGCUAUGCAUAAAGCAUGCUAAGCUUAAAAGGGAAGCUCGGUGAAAGUCCGGCACGGUUCCCGCCACUGUAAUCCGGAGCAACUUGCAAGCAGUCACUGCUUUAUCUAAAAAGUGGGAAGACGCAAGGAGCAUUGAUGGUAAGUCAGGAGACCUGCCUGUUUAGAGGACACGAA
RNAcentral lists this non-coding RNA (194 nucleotides) under Desulfuribacillus stibiiarsenatis. RNAcentral also lists the same sequence under 1 other name. The record is from RNAcentral. Lineage: Bacteria; Bacillati; Bacillota; Desulfuribacillia; Desulfuribacillales; Desulfuribacillaceae.